RNAcentral lists this unclassified non-coding RNA (23 nucleotides) under Mus musculus (house mouse). Its description in RNAcentral is "oocyte_clustered_small_RNA8938". The record is from RNAcentral. Lineage: Eukaryota; Metazoa; Chordata; Mammalia; Rodentia; Muridae.
UGGUUUGUGGCCAGCUUGAAUUC